UUAGUGAGGUCUCCGGAUUAGCUUUGGCGCACCGGCAACGGAAUGCUAUNNCUGAGAAGUUGAUCAAACUUGGUCAUUUAGAGGAAGUAAAAGUCGUAACAAGGUUUCCGUAGGUGAACCUGCGGAAGGAUCAUUAUUGAAAUAAACCUGAUGGGUUGUUGCUGGUUCUCUAGGGAGCAUGUGCACGCCUUGUCAUCUUUAUAUCUCCACCUGUGCACCUUUUGUAGACCUUUCAGGUCUAUGUUGCUUCAUUUACCCCAAUGUAUGUUAAUAGAAUGUUGUGCCUAUAUAAUAUAUACAACUUUCAGCAACGGAUCUCUUGGCUCUCGCAUCGAUGAAGAACGCAGCGAAAUGCGAUAAGUAAUGUGAAUUGCAGAAUUCAGUGAAUCAUCGAAUCUUUGAACGCACCUUGCGCUCCUUGGUAUUCCGAGGAGCAUGCCUGUUUGAGUGUCAUUAAUAUAUAUAUCAAACCUUCUCUUGUAGAGNGGUUUGGAUGUGGGGGUUUGCUGGCCUUUUAGAGGGUUCAGCUCUCCUGAAAUGCAUUAGCAGAACAACCUGUUCAUUGGUGUGAUAACUAUCUACGCUAUUGAAUGUGAAGGGCAGUUCAGCUUUCUAACAGUCCUUGGACAAUUCAUCAUUAAUGUGACCUCAAAUCAGGUAGGACUACCCGCUGAACUUAAGCAUAUCAAUAAGCGGAGGAAAAGAAACUAACAAGGAUUCCCCUAGUAACUGCGAGUGAAGCGGGAAAAGCUCAAAUUUAAAAUCUGGNGGUCUUUUGGCUGUCCGAGUUGUAAUCUAGAGAAGUGCUAUCCGCGCUGGACCGUGUACAAGUCUCCUGGAAUGGAGCAUCAUAGAGGGUGAGAAUCCCGUCUUUGACAUGGACUGCCAGGGCUUUGUGAUGUGCUCUCAAAGAGUC
This 916-nucleotide ribosomal RNA is filed under the name Cortinarius sp. 10 RT-2012. RNAcentral's name for it is "eukaryotic LSU rRNA". The stretch from base 644 to 916 matches the Rfam family "Eukaryotic large subunit ribosomal RNA", at positions 1 to 266 of the family's 3401-position model. The record is from RNAcentral. Lineage: Eukaryota; Fungi; Basidiomycota; Agaricomycetes; Agaricales; Cortinariaceae.